Long non-coding RNA from Polyodon spathula (Mississippi paddlefish), 907 nucleotides. RefSeq lists it as uncharacterized. The record is from RefSeq and is a predicted model, not a curated record. Lineage: Eukaryota; Metazoa; Chordata; Actinopteri; Acipenseriformes; Polyodontidae. The transcript is spliced from 3 exons.
UUGACACAGUGGUGCUCUGCCUAUUGAACGCUGUCCUGGUAACAAUUUGCUUCUCUCUCCAAGUGAUUCGGCAGAAUUUGCAACAUAAAACGGCAUAUGCUGCUUGCAAGAGGAUCUCCACAGUUAAACAAAGUACCAGACGAUAGCAGCGAGGACAGUGGCAGGAAGUCAUGAUAAAAGUACACGUAGAAUACUGCCAGCUUUGAGAUCACUGUGAGUGACCAGUUGAUAUUCUCCAAGUUGGAAACAAAAGGCUUUCCUUAUGCUGAAGAUAUCCUUGAUGCGGUUCAGAAAGCCAGCCGUGGAGAAAUCGUCUCUAAAAUCACUAAGAAGCAGAACUGUGUUGUGAUGUAGGAUGGUUGCUUCCUGAAAGUUAGAAAUAAUUCCUACAUUUUAAUCUGGGACGCGGUUCUUAGGAUGACUGUUUGCAUUUAAACCUGCAAUGCGAACACGAAAAGAAACAAGAACCCCAUUCUCUAGGCAUUUAUAAUUCAGGAAUGCAUUUCUUGAGCUUUCUGUCAGGUAGAGUAAUUCAGCAAGGUAACUGAGUAAAAAAAAAAAAAAAAACCUGAAUAAAUAUCUCUACAGCAGACUGCAAAUACUUAAAGUGAACUCAUUCACUGGAUGUUGGAGGAGGAGAUUUUAAUGUUCAGUGAUAGCUGUCAUUGCUCUGUAAUUUGUGUUUCUACUUUGCUGACUGGCUACCUAAAUAUUAUAAUUGUGUGUAUUUUUUUUCCUAUUGGAUGGUAAAGAUGUAGCAGAAGGUAACUAUUGUAAAUAAUGUUGCUUAUGAACAGACCUAUUUUCUGUUGAAUUCAAAUUCAGUUUAUUUGAAGUAAACAUUCCCUGCUCAUAACAAAAGCACACCAAGUUCAGGGUUUUAUAUAUAAUUAUAUAUAUACACAAC